Molecule: ribosomal RNA, 429 nt
Filed under: Verrucomicrobiota bacterium
Lineage: Bacteria; Pseudomonadati; Verrucomicrobiota
Description: Verrucomicrobia bacterium partial 16S ribosomal RNA
Rfam family: Bacterial small subunit ribosomal RNA
Source: RNAcentral
UAGGGAAUCUUCGGCAAUGGGGGGAACCCUGACCGAGCAACGCCGCGUGAGUGAAGAAGGUUUUCGGAUCGUAAAGCUCUGUUGUUAAGGAAGAACGAGUGUGAGAAUGGAAAGUUCAUGCUGUGACGGUACUUAACCAGAACGGGACGGCUAACUACGUGCCAGCAGCCGCGGUAAUACGUAGGUCCCGAGCGUUGUCCGGAUUUAUUGGGCGUAAAGCGAGCGCAGGCGGUUAGAAAAGUCUGAAGUGAAAGGCAGUGGCUCAACCAUUGUAGGCUUUGGAAACUGUUUAACUUGAGUGCAGAAGGGGAGAGUGGAAUUCCAUGUGUAGCGGUGAAAUGCGUAGAUAUAUGGAGGAACACCGGUGGCGAAAGCGGCUCUCUGGUCUGUAACUGACGCUGAGGCUCGAAAGCGUGGGGAGCGAACAGG